UACGUAGGGUGCGAGCGUUGUCCGGAAUUACUGGGCGUAAAGAGCUCGUAGGUGGUUUGUCGCGUUGUCCGUGAAAACUCACAGCUUAACUGUGGGCGUGCGGGCGAUACGGGCAGACUGGAGUACUGCAGGGGAGACUGGAAUUCCUGGUGUAGCGGUGGAAUGCGCAGAUAUCAGGAGGAACACCAAUAGCGAAGGCAGCUCGCUGGGAUGGUACUGACGCUAAGGCGCGAAAGCGUGGGGAGCGAACAGG
RNAcentral lists this ribosomal RNA (253 nucleotides) under uncultured bacterium. RNAcentral describes it as "partial 16S ribosomal RNA". It matches the Rfam family "Bacterial small subunit ribosomal RNA", at positions 524 to 776 of the family's 1533-position model. The record is from RNAcentral.